Molecule: ribosomal RNA, 497 nt
Filed under: uncultured bacterium
Lineage: Bacteria
Description: partial 16S ribosomal RNA
Rfam family: Bacterial small subunit ribosomal RNA
Source: RNAcentral
GAUGAACGCUGGCGGCGUGCCUAAUACAUGCAAGUCGAGCGAACAGACGAGGAGCUUGCUCCUUCGACGUUAGCGGCGGACGGGUGAGUAACACGUAGGUAACCUACCUAUAAGACUGGGAUAACUUCGGGAAACCGGUGCUAAUACCGGAUAAUAUUUCGAACCGCAUGGUUCGAUAGUGAAAGAUGGCUUUGCUAUCGCUUAUAGAUGGACCUGCGCCGUAUUAGCUAGUUGGUAAGGUAACGGCUUACCAAGGCAACGAUACGUAGCCGACCUGAGAGGGUGAUCGGCCACACUGGAACUGAGACACGGUCCAGACUCCUACGGGAGGCAGCAGUAGGGAAUCUUCCGCAAUGGGCGAAAGCCUGACGGAGCAACGCCGCGUGAGUGAUGAAGGUCUUCGGAUCGUAAAACUCUGUUAUUAGGGAAGAACAAACGUGUAAGUAACUGUGCACGUCUUGACGGUACCUAAUCAGAAAGCCACGGCUAACUACGUG